RNAcentral lists this ribosomal RNA (777 nucleotides) under Lactiplantibacillus plantarum. RNAcentral's name for it is "bacterial SSU rRNA". It matches the Rfam family "Bacterial small subunit ribosomal RNA", at positions 92 to 854 of the family's 1533-position model. Lineage: Bacteria; Bacillati; Bacillota; Bacilli; Lactobacillales; Lactobacillaceae. The record is from RNAcentral.
UGAGUGGCGAACUGGUGAGUAACACGUGGGAAACCUGCCCAGAAGCGGGGGAUAACACCUGGAAACAGAUGCUAAUACCGCAUAACAACUUGGACCGCAUGGUCCGAGUUUGAAAGAUGGCUUCGGCUAUCACUUCUGGAUGGUCCCGCGGCGUAUUAGCUAGAUGGUGAGGUAACGGCUCACCAUGGCAAUGAUACGUAGCCGACCUGAGAGGGUAAUCGGCCACAUUGGGACUGAGACACGGCCCAAACUCCUACGGGAGGCAGCAGUAGGGAAUCUUCCACAAUGGACGAAAGUCUGAUGGAGCAACGCCGCGUGAGUGAAGAAGGGUUUCGGCUCGUAAAACUCUGUUGUUAAAGAAGAACAUAUCUGAGAGUAACUGUUCAGGUAUUGACGGUAUUUAACCAGAAAGCCACGGCUAACUACGUGCCAGCAGCCGCGGUAAUACGUAGGUGGCAAGCGUUGUCCGGAUUUAUUGGGCGUAAAGCGAGCGCAGGCGGUUUUUUAAGUCUGAUGUGAAAGCCUUCGGCUCAACCGAAGAAGUGCAUCGGAAACUGGGAAACUUGAGUGCAGAAGAGGACAGUGGAACUCCAUGUGUAGCGGUGAAAUGCGUAGAUAUAUGGAAGAACACCAGUGGCGAAGGCGGCUGUCUGGUCUGUAACUGACGCUGAGGCUCGAAAGUAUGGGUAGCAAACAGGAUUAGAUACCCUGGUAGUCCAUACCGUAAACGAUGAAUGCUAAGUGUUGGAGGGUUUCCGCCCUUCAGUGCUGCAGCUA